Molecule: ribosomal RNA, 292 nt
Filed under: uncultured bacterium
Lineage: Bacteria
Description: partial 16S ribosomal RNA
Rfam family: Bacterial small subunit ribosomal RNA
Source: RNAcentral
GUGUCAGCAGCCGCGGUAAAACGUAGGAUCCGAGCGUUAUCCGAAUUUACUGGGCGUAAAGCGCGUGCAGGCGGUUCGAUAAGUUGGAUGUGAAAUCUCCUGGCUCAACUGGGAGACGUCGUUCAAUACUGUCGGACUUGAGGAUGGUAGAGGGAGGUGGAAUUCCCGGUGUAGUGGUGAAAUGCGUAGAUAUCGGGAGGAACACCAGUGGCGAAAGCGGCCUCCUGGACCAUUUCUGACGCUCAGACGCGAAAGCUAGGGGAGCGAACGGGAUUAGAUACCCGCGUAGUCC